AACGAACGCUGGCGGCAGGCUUAACACAUGCAAGUCGAGCGCCCCGCAAGGGGAGCGGCAGACGGGUGAGUAACACGUGGGAAUCUACCCAUCCCUGCGGAACAACUCCGGGAAACUGGAGCUAAUACCGCAUACGCCCUUUGGGGGAAAGAUUUAUCGGGGAUGGAUGAGCCCGCGUUGGAUUAGCUAGUUGGUGGGGUAAAGGCCUACCAAGGCGACGAUCCAUAGCUGGUCUGAGAGGAUGACCAGCCACACUGGGACUGAGACACGGCCCAGACUACCACGGGAGGCAGCAGUGGGGAAUAUUGGAAAAGGGGCGAAAGGCUGCUCCAGCCAUGCCGCGUGGGUGAAGAAGGCCCUAGGGUUGUAAACCCCUUUCAGCGGGGAAGAUAAUGACGGUACCCGCAGAAGAAGCCCCGGCUAACUCCGUGCCAGCCGCCGCUGUAA
This 447-nucleotide ribosomal RNA is filed under the name uncultured bacterium. RNAcentral describes it as "partial 16S ribosomal RNA". It matches the Rfam family "Bacterial small subunit ribosomal RNA", at positions 29 to 523 of the family's 1533-position model. The record is from RNAcentral.